UGUCUUUUUGAGUUUAAUAUAAAGUCUAAUCUGCCCACUGAUUUAAAAAAAUUAAAUGGCUGCAGUAUAUUGACUGUACAAAGGUAGCAUAAUCAUUAGUCAUUUAAUUGGUGACUUGUAUGAAGGAUUGGAUGAGAUAUAAACUGUCUUUUAUUUAAUUAUAAAAUUUAAUUUUUUUAUUAAAAAGUUAAAAUAAAUUAAAAAGACGAGAAGACCCUAUAGAGUUUUAUAAAUAAUUAAGUUAAGAUUAUAUUUAAAGUUUAAGUUUAAAAUUUAAAUAUUUAUUUUGUUGGGGUGAUAGAAAAAUAUAAAAAACUUUUUUUACAUAAAAACAUUUAUAAGUGAUUAAAUGAUCCAAUUUUAUUGAUUAUAAGAAAAAAUUACCUUAGGGAUAACAGCGUAAUUUUUUUUUUUAGUUCAAAUAAGAAAAAGAGUUUGCGACCUCGAUGUUGGAUUAAGAUAAAAUUUAAAUGUAGAAG
RNAcentral lists this ribosomal RNA (479 nucleotides) under Acrapex breviptera. RNAcentral's name for it is "partial large subunit ribosomal RNA". The record is from RNAcentral. Lineage: Eukaryota; Metazoa; Arthropoda; Insecta; Lepidoptera; Noctuidae.